CAGCUUUUGCAAUAUGUAUGAGCCUGAUUAGUCCUAUACUAUAUAAAGAAAGACCACGCCUAAUAAAGUUGAAGUACACUGAUCACUCAUAUUGAGCGUCUGGGUCUUCCCUCCGUCGGCUCCUCCCGUGCAAGUUUCCAACAAAUGGCGCCCGAACAGGGACCCUGCUGGUCAGGGACUCGGUGAUUAUAAACUCAGGAGUCGACAGAGUACUAGAGACAGCUGGUCCUGCUGUGCUAAAGGCGACGAGACACAAAAGGGGGUCUACGUGCCAGAGUUACAGAGGAGGUGGAGAGGACACAAACAAAGGGGGUCCGUGCCCAGGACGAGACGGGGUCCUGCCAGAAAGUCUCGCCGCAGGUCUUGCAAAGGUUGCAACGGACCGGUUUGGGUUCCCAGCAGAUUUACGAAACCUGUGAUAGACGAAGGAGCGACUGUGGACAAAGACCAUGCUCGGAAUCGGACAGACAACUCUGCGCAAAAUUGUCCUAUUGAUUAUGAUAAUUGCUGAAGGGUCUACGAUGUUGUCUCAGAUUGAUACUCAGCAGAAUAUGUGGGUUACAUGGGCUAACGAAACUAACCAGCGCACCUUUUGUUUGUCUCUAGCCUCAGGAAGCGAUCCCUUCCGGACGUGUCUAUUUGGGGUGCCUAUAGGAGCUCCAAAGGAAUUGGUCAAGCUGUUAGGCCCAUACUCAACUUCACUCACUCUCUUAAAUGGGUCCUUCUCGAGCAACCUCUCAGACGGAGUGGUUGCUGCACUGCAACAUCUUAAUAUAUCGUUGCCAUGGGAUCCACAAGAAUUAGAUUUGUUAGGGUCAGUAGCAGUAGGAAACACUAGUGAUAAUUGGACACAAACCUGUUUUAUGCUAAAUAAAGGUAAACAAAAUAAGACUCAUUGGACGAACAUAACGUCUAGAACUUUAGGGUUUAACGCCAAUGGUCCUAUGAGUGCCCCUAAGGCACUGCCUGCUGGUAUUUUUCUAAUUUGUGGUGACAGAGCAUGGCAAGGCGUGCCAGGAAACGCUUAUGGGGGACCUUGUUAUAUAGGACGCCUGACACUCUUUGCCCCUGACUUACAUGAUCAGCGUUGGUCAAAUCUGACUGCAGCAAUCAAACAUAGAAGAAGUGAGAAUCGUCGAGGCAAACGUGAAUUGAAAAAACUAGGUUCAGAUUGUGCUGAUGAUGUAGCAUUAUGGGGACCUGCGGAAAGGUUUUUCGCCGCAGCUUUAGCUCCUAACGUUGCAGUUGCGCAUGCCAUGUCUAAUCUAAAUAAACUUGCUUGUUGGGCUGU
Long non-coding RNA from Dromaius novaehollandiae (emu), 1291 nucleotides. RefSeq lists it as uncharacterized. The record is from RefSeq and is a predicted model, not a curated record. The transcript has 2 exons. Lineage: Eukaryota; Metazoa; Chordata; Aves; Casuariiformes; Dromaiidae.